UAAAAUAGGAAACAAAAUCAUCAGGAGUGGAGAUAGUGUGAUGGCAUUUGAGAAGAGAAUGGAGGAAAACUGUGGAGGAGAUGGGGACCAGGCUGGUCUCAAAAUCCUGGCCUCAAGCUAUCCUCUUGCCUCGGCAUCCCAAAGUGCUGGGAUUACAGGGGUGAGCUACCCCACCCACCAGGGACCUCUCAGGCAGAUUGAUUGCUUAUGUGUGUUCAGCUCUGGAGGCCACAUUCCAACACCUGUUGUUUCCUGACUUUUUAAUGAUUGCCAUUCUAACUGGUGUGAGAUGGUAUCUCAUUGUGGUUAAGAGCUUCUGCACAGCAAAAGAAACUACCAUCAGAGUGAACAGGCAACCUACAGAAUGGGAGAAAAGUUCUGCAAUCUACUCAUCUGACAAAGGGCUAAUAUCCAGAAUCUACAAUGAACUCCAACAAAUUUACAAGAAAAAAACUAACAACCCCAUCAAAAAGUGGGCAAAGGAUAUGAACAGACACUCUCAAAAGAAGACAUUUAUGCAGCCAAAAGACAUAUGAAAAAAUGCUCAUCAUCACUGGCCAUCAGAGAAAUGCAAAUCAGAAAAAGACUCUUUAAUCUAUUUUUUUCUCUCUAAUUAAAAAUUUUAAGACAGAGCUGUUUUUUAUAAAUUUUACCCUAUAUAAGAAAUUUAACAUGCUUUUAUUUCCUUUUUCCUUUCCUCCAAUUUUCAGUUUUUGUUGACAAAACUGAUUAUAAUACUUUUAAAGUAUGACAGGUAUUUUAUUUCAAAAAUUCUUAUUUACAUUUAUAUUGUUUUGUAACUA
This 803-nucleotide non-coding RNA is filed under the name Pongo abelii (Sumatran orangutan). Lineage: Eukaryota; Metazoa; Chordata; Mammalia; Primates; Hominidae. The record is from RNAcentral.